ACACGACUACAUUAGAUACCCCGGUAGUCCUAGCCGUAAACGAUACUCGCUAGGUGUCGGCCACGGUGCGACCGUUGUCGGUGCCGUAGGGAAGCCGUGAAGCGAGCCACCUGGGAAGUACGGCCGCAAGGCUGAAACUUAAAGGAAUUGGCGGGGGAGCACCACAACGGGUGGAGCUUGCGGUUUAAUUGGAUUCAACGCCGGAAAUCUUACCGGGACCGACAGCAACAUGAAGGCCAGGCUGAAGACUUUGCCGGAUUAACUG
RNAcentral lists this ribosomal RNA (265 nucleotides) under uncultured archaeon. RNAcentral describes it as "partial 16S ribosomal RNA". It matches the Rfam family "Archaeal small subunit ribosomal RNA", at positions 717 to 982 of the family's 1478-position model. The record is from RNAcentral.